GACGAACGCGGGCGGCGUGCUUAACACAUGCAAGUCGAACGGAAAGGCCCUGCUUUUGUGGGGUGCUCGAGUGGCGAACGGGUGAGUAACACGUGAGUAACCUGCCCUUGACUUUGGGAUAACUUCAGGAAACUGGGGCUAAUACCGGAUAGGAGCUCCUGCUGCAUGGUGGGGGUUGGAAAGUUUCGGCGGUUGGGGAUGGACUCGCGGCUUAUCAGCUUGUUGGUGGGGUAGUGGCUUACCAAGGCUUUGACGGGUAGCCGGCCUGAGAGGGUGACCGGCCACAUUGGGACUGAGAUACGGACCAGACUCCUACGGGAGGCAGCAGUGGGGAAUAUUGCACAAUGGGCGGAAGCCUGAUGCAGCAACGCCGCGUGCGGGAUGACGGCCUUCGGGUUGUAAACCGCUUUCGCCUGUGACGAAGCGUGAGUGACGGUAAUGGGUAAAGAAGCACCGGCUAACUACGUG
Molecule: ribosomal RNA, 468 nt
Filed under: uncultured bacterium
Lineage: Bacteria
Description: partial 16S ribosomal RNA
Rfam family: Bacterial small subunit ribosomal RNA
Source: RNAcentral